UGGUUGGGUUACCUUCUAUUGUUCUCCCUCUAUAACUACCACUAACUUAACCGUCAAGGGGUCCCUCACUGAAGAACCCCCAUCCUGUUCUCUGAUGGUCGGACUUUCUCUACAGGUGCUUGUGUCGGAUUAGCGUCUGUCUGCAUCGUUGACCUGUGGCCCUUCGAUUAGAGUCCAGCCACUCUUAUUUGGCAAGCAUCCUCCAGCUAUUCCGCCAC
RNAcentral lists this long non-coding RNA (218 nucleotides) under Elaeis guineensis (African oil palm). RNAcentral's name for it is "long non-coding RNA (EGUI_LNC003450)". Lineage: Eukaryota; Viridiplantae; Streptophyta; Magnoliopsida; Arecales; Arecaceae. The record is from RNAcentral.